AGCGAGAGGUGCUUGCACCUUUCAAGCGAGUGGCGAACGGGUGAGUAACACGUGGAUAACCUGCCUCAAGGCUGGGGAUAACAUUUGGAAACAGAUGCUAAUACCGAAUAAAACUUAGUAUCGCAUGAUAUCAAGUUAAAAGGCGCUACGGCGUCACCUAGAGAUGGAUCCGCGGUGCAUUAGUUAGUUGGUGGGGUAAAGGCUUACCAAGACGAUGAUGCAUAGCCGAGUUGAGAGACUGAUCGGCCACAUUGGGACUGAGACACGGCCCAAACUCCUACGGGAGGCUGCAGUAGGGAAUCUUCCACAAUGGGCGCAAGCCUGAUGGAGCAACGCCGCGUGUGUGAUGAAGGCUUUCGGGUCGUAAAGCACUGUUGUAUGGGAAGAAAUGCUAAAAUAGGGAAUGAUUUUAGUUUGACGGUACCAUACCAGAAAGGGACGGCUAAAUACGUGCCAGCAGCCGCGGUAAUACGUAUGUCCCGAGCGUUAUCCGGAUUUAUUGGGCGUAAAGCGAGCGCAGACGGUUGAUUAAGUCUGAUGUGAAAGCCCGGAGCUCAACUCCGGAAUGGCAUUGGAAACUGGUUAACUUGAGUGUUGUAGAGGUAAGUGGAACUCCAUGUUUU
This 623-nucleotide ribosomal RNA is filed under the name Leuconostoc sp. RNAcentral's name for it is "bacterial SSU rRNA". It matches the Rfam family "Bacterial small subunit ribosomal RNA", at positions 68 to 677 of the family's 1533-position model. The record is from RNAcentral. Lineage: Bacteria; Bacillati; Bacillota; Bacilli; Lactobacillales; Lactobacillaceae.